CACACAACCACCCACCUUACCCAUCGACCCACCACUCUCCCCACCCUCCACCGCUGCCAUCGUGACGCACCACCCCACCACCAUCUAGCCCCAGCCCGGCCGCCCACAUUCACCUGGCCGGCAACCGGCGACGAUGGGCCGGCCCACCGACCACCGCGGUGCUCCUCCCACCAACCGCCGCUGCCAAACAGGGCCGGAUCUCCCCUCGAUCUCAUGCUUCUUCCCGUCGACUCGCCGACCAGCCCUGUCCCCCUUCCUCCCAUCUUCCUCCCCCGCCAUGGCUGCUAGGAUCCAAUCCAUGGCUGCCCAAUUUGGCGGGCGACCCCCGGAUCCAGGCGAGAGCACCACCACCACCAAGCGCGUGGAGGGGAGUGGAGGGGCGGCGGGGGAUCUCACCGGGUCUCUUCCCCACCUCCGUGGUCUGCCUGCCCGUCCCGCCAUCAGCCACCGCGUCACCGCACCGACCAGAUCCAUGGCGUUAGUCGCGCCGUGCUUUGUGGUGCUACUCCGUCAGAGUUAGGAGGGGGGGUAGGAGCAGCUCCGUCGAGCUUCUGCUGGCGACGGCGAGAUACUUCAGUGCAUCCGGAUCCCCGGCGUUUCGUCUUCUCACCGUCAUCCCUUCUCUGCCAGUUGCCAUCCACCAGGAGGAGAGGGGAGAAACUCCCAGCACCCUUGCACUUUCUGACAUGUACGAGUGCAGUGCGCUAGUCGCGUUGGUGCAGCCCGCUGGCAUCCAGCAGGGGAUGCAGCUCUUCGGUGGGUGAAGUGCGGUCCACGCCGAGCGCCAAUGCAGUGCUGUGCCCCUUGGUGGUUAUGAAAAAAAGCAUGCAGUUUGUUUCGAAUUGGGUCGCGGCUCACUUCCUCCGAUGCAAAAUUCAAAUUGCACUUGUUCCUGCAUGGUGUCGCGUGUUCAAAAAAAAUAAAUUGCAUCGGCACUUGCAGUGCAUUUUGCUGUCGCGUGCGGUUCACUACGCUGGCCUCGCAGUUGAGAUGAAAUUAUAAAGAGAAAAUGCUAGGAAAAAAAUAAUGCAACUCCCUUUGUCGCUAUUGCAAUGCGGUUCAUUUUGUAGUGAGUCAAAGUGGUUCACUUUGUAAAGCAAAAAGAUUGUCGAAAAGAAGUAUGAAGUUCACUAGUCU
This is a long non-coding RNA of Triticum dicoccoides, 1137 nucleotides long. RefSeq lists it as uncharacterized. The transcript is spliced from 3 exons. NCBI's taxonomy places the organism in Eukaryota, Viridiplantae, Streptophyta, Magnoliopsida, Poales, Poaceae. The record is from RefSeq and is a predicted model, not a curated record.